CCUACGGGGGGCAGCAGUAGGGAAUUUUCGUCAAUGGGCGCAAGCCUGAACGAGCAAUGCCGCGUGAACGAGGAAGGUCUUCGGAUCGUAAAGCUCUUUUGAAGGGGAAAAAGAGCGGAGAGAGGAAAUGCUUUCUGAUUGAUAUUACCCUUCGAGGAAGUCACGGCUAACUACGUGCCAGCCGCCGCGGUAAUACGUAGGUGGCGAGCGUUAUCCGGAUUGAUUGGGCGUAAGGGGUGCGUGGGCGGCCUGCGAAGUCUGAAGUGAAAGGUACCGGCUCAACCGGGUCAGGCUUUGGAAACUGGCGUGCUAGAGAGCAGGAGAGGUCGGUGGAACUCCAUGUGUAGCGGUAAAAUGCGUAGAUAUAUGGAAGAACACCAGUGGCGAAGGCGGCCGCCUGGCCUGUUACUGACGCUGAGGCACGAAAGCGUGGGGAGCAAAUAGGAUUAGAUACCCGAGUAGUC
RNAcentral lists this ribosomal RNA (464 nucleotides) under uncultured bacterium. RNAcentral describes it as "partial 16S ribosomal RNA". It matches the Rfam family "Bacterial small subunit ribosomal RNA", at positions 338 to 795 of the family's 1533-position model. The record is from RNAcentral.